This 397-nucleotide ribosomal RNA is filed under the name uncultured Glomeromycotina. RNAcentral describes it as "SSU rRNA". It matches the Rfam family "Eukaryotic small subunit ribosomal RNA", at positions 569 to 970 of the family's 1831-position model. Lineage: Eukaryota; Fungi; Glomeromycota. The record is from RNAcentral.
AGCAGCCGCGGUAAUUCCAGCUCCAAUAGCGUAUAUUAAAGUUGUUGCAGUUAAAAAGCUCGUAGUUGAAUUUCGGGAUCAAUACGUCGGUCGUGCCUUCGGUACGUACUAAUGUCAUUGAUUUCUCCCUUCUGAUGAAUCAUGAUGUCAUUAAUUUGAUGUUGUGGGGAGUCAGGACUGUUACUUUGAAAAAAUUAGAGUGUUUAAAGCAGGCACGCGCUUGAAUACAUUAGCAUGGAAUAAUGAAAUAGGACGUCCGAUUCUAUUUUGUUGGUUUCUAGGAUCAACGUAAUGAUUAAUAGGGAUAGUUGGGGGCAUUAGUAAUCAAUUGUCAGAGGUGAAAUUCUUGGAUUUAUUGAAGACUAACUACUGCGAAAGCAUUUGCCAAGGAUGUUUU